RNAcentral lists this ribosomal RNA (253 nucleotides) under uncultured bacterium. RNAcentral describes it as "partial 16S ribosomal RNA". It matches the Rfam family "Bacterial small subunit ribosomal RNA", at positions 524 to 776 of the family's 1533-position model. The record is from RNAcentral.
UACGUAGGGUGCAAGCGUUGUCCGGAAUUAUUGGGCGUAAAGAGCUCGUAGGCGGUUUGUCGCGUCGAAUGUGAAAACCCGGGGCUCAACCCCGGGCCUGCAUUCGAUACGGGCAGACUAGAGUUCGGUAGGGGAGUCUGGAAUUCCUGGUGUAGCGGUGAAAUGCGCAGAUAUCAGGAGGAACACCGGUGGCGAAGGCGGGACUCUGGGCCUUACCUGACGCUGAGGCGCGAAAGCUAGGGGAGCAAACAGG